GGGAUCUCUCGGAUUCUCGCAGGCAGGCGAAACCCCUGAUCUUCCCUUACAAGGAAGAGGCCGGCGGUUCGAGUCCGUCAACGCCCA
Molecule: transfer RNA, 87 nt
Filed under: Actinomycetota bacterium
Lineage: Bacteria; Bacillati; Actinomycetota
Description: tRNA-Val
Source: RNAcentral